Oryzias latipes (Japanese medaka) is the source of this 341-nucleotide long non-coding RNA. RefSeq lists it as uncharacterized. Lineage: Eukaryota; Metazoa; Chordata; Actinopteri; Beloniformes; Adrianichthyidae. The record is from RefSeq and is a predicted model, not a curated record.
GUGAUUUAAUUUUUAUUCCUUUGGAGUGUACAGUGAAUUUUGUUUGAUUUUGUUCAGAAGAAUUGUAUUAUUCUCGCGAGAAUUUGAGCCUUUUAUGUUGGCCGCAGGUGAGCACGGUCUUUUGCUCACGAGGUUGCAACAAUUAGGAGUUCAAGCUGGGAGAAAGAGCUGCAAAAAGAAAUACCUUGGACUCAAAGAGACUCUUUUACUUGACAAGCGGAAACGAGUUUUCACGGCGUAAUGAAGGCGUAAUGAAGGCGCAAUGAAAGCGAAGGCACGCAAUGUCCCACAAGAAGUGUGAUGACCUGCAGAAGUACAAAUAAACGCCCGUUGUAAACCGA